UCUUGCGCAAUGGCCUGAGGGCUGACGCAGCGACGCCGCGUGCGGGAGGACGCCCCUCGGGGUGUAAAACGCUGUCGCCCGGGACGAAGCCUGGGGGAGCCCCAGGUUGACGGUACCGGGGGAGGAAGCACCGGCUAACUCCGUGCCAGCAGCCGCGGUAAUACGGCGGGUGCGAGCGUUGUCCGGAAUCACUGGGCGUAAAGGGCGCGUAGGCGGCCCGCCGAGCGUGCGGUGAAAGUCCGGGGCUCAACCCCGGAUCGGCCGUGCGGACCGGCGGGCUCGAGCACGGUAGAGGCGGGCGGAAUUCCGGGUGUAGCGGUGGAAUGCGUAGAGAUCCGGAAGAACACCGGUGGCGAAGGCGGCCCGCUGGGCCGGGGCGCGAGCCUGAGAGCUGACGCUGAGGCGCGACAGCGUGGGGAGCAAACAGG
Molecule: ribosomal RNA, 428 nt
Filed under: uncultured bacterium
Lineage: Bacteria
Description: bacterial SSU rRNA
Rfam family: Bacterial small subunit ribosomal RNA
Source: RNAcentral